Molecule: unclassified non-coding RNA, 780 nt
Filed under: Hevea brasiliensis (rubber tree)
Lineage: Eukaryota; Viridiplantae; Streptophyta; Magnoliopsida; Malpighiales; Euphorbiaceae
Source: RNAcentral
UAAAACAAUAGCAAGCAUCUCUCUCAAUCUGAUGCUGGCUUUCUUGACUCAAAACCUACUAAGACACCUAUGGACAGUAAGCUUAAACUCAGCAAGGACCAGGGUGACCCUCUUUCAGAUGUAAUUUCAUAUAGGAAGCUUGUUGGCGGAUUACUGUACCUUACAUCCACUAGACCUGAUAUAUCAUCUAUUGUGCAGCAACUAAGUCAGUUUAUGGACAAACCAACUUCAACUCAUCUUCAGCUGGCACAUGAGUUCUUAGAUAUAUAAAAGCUGCUCCUGGUGCUGGUCUUUUCUUUCUAGCAACCUCUGAUCUCCAGCUUAAGGCUUUUAGUGACUUUGACUGGGCUGGAUGCAUUGGUACCAGAAAAUCCAUUGCUGGAUUUUGUAUCUUUUUAGGCCCUUCUUUAAUUUGUUGGAGUGCCAAGAAAUAGCCUACUGUAUCUAGGUCUUCAUCUAAAGUAGAGUAGAGAGCUCUUGCUUCUACUACUUGUGAAUUGCAGUGGCUUAAAUAUUUGUUGCAGGAUUUGCACAUUUGUCAUUCACGGCCAACCUUGUUGUUUUGCGACAACAAGUUUGCCUUUCAAAUAGCUACAUUCCAUGAGCGCACCAAACACAUUGAAACACAUUGAACUUAACUGUCAUAUCGUAAGGGAAAAGAUUCAUUCAGGUCUCAUCAAGCUUCUACCACUUGCUUCUUCUACUCAACUAGCUUAUAUUUGUACAAAAGCACUUCCUACUGCUCCAUUCCAAGAAAUCAUUUCCAAGCUGGGAAUGAUA